ACCGCCCGAAGGCCGGGGCGCCUAGUUCGUCCAGCGGAAAAAGGCCACAAAAACGGGUGGGCUAUAGCCUUGGGGGGUGGGGCUGGCCCACUUCGUCCGCCCGACUCGGAAUGCCGUGAGACUUUGCGAGGGCACUCCGUGCGCCAAAAAUAAGCCGCGGGCAAGGCCGCGACCAAAAAUAACAUCCCGAAGGCCGGGGCGCCAAGUUUUUCCAGCGGAAAAAGGCCACAAAAACGGGUGGGCUAUAGCCUUGGGGGGUGGGGCUGCUAACUUCGUCCGCCGGACUCGGAAUGCCGCGAGACUUUGCGAGGCGCUUCCGUGUGCCAAAAAUAGGCCGCGGACAAAGUCACGCCCAAAAAUAACCGCCCGACGGCCGGGGCGUCAAGUUCGUCCCGCGGGAAAAGGCCACAAAAACGGGUGGGCUAUAGCCUUGGGGGGUGGGGCUGGCCGACUUCGUCCGCCAGACUCGGAAUGCCACGAGACUUUGCGAGGGGCCUCCAUGUGCCAAAAAUAGGCCGCAGGCAAAGUCGCGCCCAAAAAUAACCGCCCGAAGGCCGGGGCGCCAGGUUCGUCCAGCGGAAAAAGGCCACAAAAACGGGUGGGCUAUAGCCUUGGGGGGUGGGGCUGGCCAACUUCGUCCGCCGGACACGGAAUGUGUCGAGCCCUUGCGAGGGGCCUCUGUGUGCCAAAAAUAGGCCAUAGGCAAAGCCGCGCUCAAAAAUAACCGCCCGAAGGCCGGGGCGCCAAAUUCGUCCAGCGGAAAAAGGCCACAAAAACGGGUGGGCUAUAGCCUUGGGGGGUGGGGCUAUCCAUCUUCGUCCGCCGGACACGGAAUGCGGCGAGACUUUGCGAGAGGCCUCCGUGUGACAAAAAUAGGCUGCGGGCAAAGCCGCGCCCAAAAAUAACCGCCCGAAGGCCGGGGCGCCAAGUUCGUCCUGCGGAAAAAGGCCACAAAAGCGGGUGGGGUAUAGCCUUGGGGGUGGGGCUGGCCAACUUCGUCCGCCGGACUCGGAAUUGCGCGAGACUUUGUGAGGGACCUCCGUGUGCCAAAAAUAGUCCAAGGGCAAAACCGCGCACAAAAAUAACCGCCGAAGGCCGGGGCGCCAAGUUCGUCCAGCGGAAAAAGGCCACAAAAACGGGUGGGCUAUAGCCUUGGGGGGUGGGGCUGGCCAAGUUCGUCCGCCGGACUCGGAAUGCUGCGAGACUUUGCUAGGGGCCUCCGUGUGCCAAAAAUACGCCGCGGAAAAAGCCGCGCCCAAAAAUAACCGCCCGAAGGCCGGGCGCCAAGUUCGUCCAGCGGAAAAAGGCCACAAAAACGGAUGGGCUAAAGCCUCGGGAGGUGGGGCUGGCCAACUUCGUCCGCCGGACUCGGAAUGCCGCGAGACUUUGCGAGGGGCCUCGGUGUGCCAAAAAUAGGCCGCGGACCAAGCUGCGCCCAAAAAUAACCACCCGAAGGCCGGGCGCCAAGUUCGUCCAGCGGAAAAAGGCCACAAAAACGGGUGGGCUAUAGCCUUGGGGGGUGGGGCUGGCCCACUUCAUCCGCCGGACUCGGAAUGCCGCGAGACUUUGCGAGGGGCCUCGGUGUGCCAAAAAUAGGCCGCGGGCCAAGCUGCGACCAAAAAUAACCACCCGAAGGCCGGGCGCCAAGUUCGUCCAGCGGAAAAAGGCCACAAAAACGGGUGGGCUAUAGCCUUGGGGGGUGGGGCUGGCCCACUUCGUCCGCCGGACUCGGAAUGCCGCGAGACUUUUCGAGGGGCCUCCGUGUGCCAAAAAUAGGCCACGGGCCCAGCCGCACACAAAAAUAACCGCCCGAAGGCCGGGGCGCCAAGUUCGUCCAGCGGAAAAAGGCCACAAAAACGGGUGGGCUAUAGCCUUGGGGGGUGGGGCUGGCCAACUUCGUCCGCCGGACUCGGAAUGGCGCGAGACUUUGCGAGGCACCUCCGUGUGCCAAAAAUAGGCCGUGGGAACAGCCGCGCUCAAAAAUAACCGCCCGAAGGCCGGGGCGCCAAGUUCGUCCAGCGGAAAAAGGUCACAAAAACGGGUGGGCUAUAGCGUUGGGGGGUGGGGCUGGCCAACUUCGUCCGCCGGACUCGGAAUGCCGUGAGACUUUGCGAGGGGUCUCCUUGUACCAAAAAUAGGCCGCAGGCAAAGCCACGCCCAAAAAUAACCGCCCGAAGGCUGGGGCGCCAAGUUCGUCCAGAGGAAAAAGGCCACAAAAACGGGUGGGCUAUAGCCUUGGGGGGUGGGGCUGGCCAACUUCGUCCGCCGGACUGGGGAUGGCGAGAGACCUUGCGAGGUGCCUCCGUGUACCAAAAAUAGGCCGCAGGCACAGCAGUGCUCAAAAAUACCCGCCCGAAAGGCGGGGCGCCAAGUUCGUCUAGCGGAAAAAGGCCACAAAAACGGGUGGGCUAUAGCCUUGGGGGGUGGGGCUGGCCAACUUCGUCCGCCGGACACGGAAUGCCGCGAGACUUUGCAAGGCACCUCCGUGUGCUAAAAAUAGGCCGCGGGCACAGCCACGUCUAAAAAUAACCACCCGAAGGCCGGGGCGCCAAGUUCGUCAAGCGGAAAAGGCCACAAAAACGGUUGGGCUAUAGCCUUGGGGGGUGGGGCUGGCCCACUUUGUCCGCCGGACUCGGAAUGGCGCGAGACUUUGCGAGGCACCUCCGUGUGCCAAAAAUAGGCCGCGGGUACAGUCACGCCCAAAAAUAAACUCCCGAAGGCCGGGGCGCCAAGUUCGUCCAGCGGAAAAAGGCCACAAAAACGGGUGGGCUAUAUCCUUGGGGGGUGGGGCUGGCCAACUUCGUCCGCCGGACUCGGAAUGCCGCGAGACUUUGCGAGGGGCCUCCAUGUGCCAAAAAUACGCCGCGGGUGAAGCCGUGCCCAAAAAAUAACCGCCCAAAGGCUGGGGGGCCAAGUUCGUCCAGAGGAAAAAGGCCACAAAAACGGGUGGGCUAUAGCCUUGGGGGGUGGGGCUGGCCAACUUCGUCCGCCGGACUCGGAAUGCCGCGAGACUUUGCGAGGGGCCACCACGUGCCAAAAAUACACCGUGGGUAAAGCCGUGCCCAAAAAAUAACCGCCCGAAGGCUGGGGGGCCAAGUUCGUCCAGAGGAAAAAGGCCACAAAAACGGGUGGGCUAUAGCCUUGGGGGGUGGGGCUGGCCAACUUCGUCCGCCGGACUCGGAAUGCCGUGAGACUUAGCGAGGGGCCUCCGUGUGCCAAAAAUAGGCCGCGGGCAAAGCCGUGCCCAAAAAAUAACAGCCCGAAGGCUGGGGCGCCAAGUUCAUCCAGCGGAAAAAGGCCACAAAAACGGGUGGGCUAUAGCCUUGGGAGGUGGGGCUGGCCAAUUUCGUCCGCCGGACUCGGAAUGCCGCGAGACUUUGCGAGGGGCCUCCGUGUGCCAAAAAUAAGCUACGGGCAAAGCCGCGGCAAAAAUAACCGCCCGAAGGCUGGGGCGCCAAGUUCGUCCAGCGGAAAAAGGCCACAAAAACGGGUGGGCUAUAGCCUCGGGGGGUGGGGAUGGCCUACUUCGUCCGCCGGACUCGGAAUGCUGUGAGACUUUUCGAGGGGCCUGCGUGUGCAAAAAAUAGGCCGCGGUCAAAGCCGCGCCCAAAAAUAACUGCCCGAAGGCCGGGGCGCCAAGUUCGUCCAGCGGAAAAAGACCACAAAAACGGGUGGGCUAUAGCCUUGGGGGGUGGGGCUGGCCAACUUCGUCCGCCGGACUCGGAAUGCCGCGAGACUUUGCAAGGCAUCUCCGUGUGCCAAAAAUAGGCCGCGGGCACAGCCACGCCUAAAAAUAACCACCCGAAGGCCGGGGCGCCAAGUUCGUCAAGCGGAAAAAGGCCACAAAAACGGUUGGGCUAUAGCCUUGGGGGGUGGGGCUGGCCCACUUUGUCCGCCGGACUCGGAAUGGCGCGAGACUUUGCGAGGCGCCUCCGUGUGCCAAAAAUAGGCUGCGGGUAGAGUCACGCCCAAAAAUAACCGCCCGAAGGCCGGGGCGGCAAGUUCGUCCAACGGAAAAAGGCCACAAUAACGGGUGGGCUAUAGCCUUGGGGGGUGGGGCUGGCCAACUUCGUCCGCCGGACUCGGAAUGGCGCGAGGCCUUGUGAGGCUCCUCCGUGUGCCAAAAAUAGGCCGCGGGCAAAGCUGCGCCGAAAAAUAACCGCCCGAAGGCCGGGGCGCCACGUUCGUCCAGCGGAAAAAGGCCACAAAAACGGACGGGCUAUAGCCUUGGGGGGUGGGGCUGGCCCACUUCGUCCGCCGGACUCGGAAUGCCGCGAGACUUUGCGAGGGGCCUCCGUGCACUAAAAACAGGCCACGGGCAAAGCCACGCCCAAAAAUAACCGCCCGGAGGCCGGGGCGCCAAGUUCGUCCAGCGGAAAAAGCCCACAAAAACGGGUGGGCUAUAGCCUUGGGGGGUGGGGCUCGCCAACUUCGUCCGCCGGACUCGGAAUGCCGCGAGACUUUGUAAGGGGCGUCCGUGUGCCAAAAAUAGGCUGCGGUCAAAGCCGCGCCGAAAAAUAACGGCCCGAAGGCUGGGGCGCCAAGUUCGUCGAGCGGAAAAAGGCCACAAAAACGGGUGGGCUAUAGCCUUGGGGGGUGGGGCUGGCCAGCUUCGUCCGCCGCACUCGGAAUACCGCAAGACUUUGUGAGGGGCCUCCGUGUGCCAAAAAUAGGCCGCGGUUAAAGCCGUGCCCAAAAAUAACUGCCCGAAGGCCGGGGCGCCAAGUUCGUCCAGCGGAAAAAGACCACAAAAACGGGUGGGCUAUAGCCUUGGGGGGUGGGGCUGGCCAAGUUCGUCCGCCGGACUCGGAAUGCUGCGAGACUUUGCGAGGGGCCUCCGUGUGCCAAAAAUACGCCGCGGACAAAGGCGCGCCCAAAAAUAACCGCCCGAAGGCCGGGCGCCAAGUUCGUCCAGCGGAAAAAGGCCACAAAAACGGGUGGGCUAUAGCCUUGGGGGGUGGGGCUGGCCCACUUCGUCCGCCGGACUCGGAAUGUCGCGAGACUUUGUGAGGGGCCUCCGUGUGCCAAAAAUAGGCCGCGGGCAAAGGCGCGCCCAAAAAUAACCGCCCGGAGGCCGGGGCGCCAAGUUCGUCCAGCGGAAAAAGGCCACAAAAACGGUUGGGCUAUAGCCUUGGGGGGUGGGGCUGGCCCACUUCGUCCGCCGGACUCGGAAUGCCGCGAGACUUUUCGAGGGGCCUCCGUGUGCCAAAAAUAGGCCACGGGCCCAGCCGCACACAAAAAUAACCGCCCGAAGGCCGGGGCGCCAAGUUCGUCCAGCGGAAAAAGGCCACAAAAACGGGUGGGCUAUAGCCUUGGGGGGUGGGGCUGGCCAACUUCGUCCGCCGGACUCGGAAUGGCGCGAGACUUUGCGAGGCACCUCCGUGUACC
RNAcentral lists this long non-coding RNA (5388 nucleotides) under Citrus x clementina. RNAcentral describes it as "Citrus clementina (C. clementina) long non-coding RNA (CCLE_LNC001640)". The record is from RNAcentral. Lineage: Eukaryota; Viridiplantae; Streptophyta; Magnoliopsida; Sapindales; Rutaceae.